Molecule: long non-coding RNA, 942 nt
Filed under: Mustela putorius furo (domestic ferret)
Lineage: Eukaryota; Metazoa; Chordata; Mammalia; Carnivora; Mustelidae
Description: lncRNA (ENSMPUG00000030647.1)
Source: RNAcentral
CUUGGAACUAUGUUAUCUUUUAUGGCAAAGGGGAAUUUACAGGUGUUGUUAAGUUAGGAUUUUGAGAUGGGUCGAGUGUCCUGGUUCUAUCCAGGUGGAUCCAAUGUAAUCACAGGGUUAUUAUAAGUAAAAUAAGGAGGCAGGAGUGUUAGAGUCAGAGAUGUGACUAUAGGCACAGGUGUGUCGAAUGGUGUGAUUGCUGGCUAGAGGCCACGAGCCAAGGAAGCUGGAAAAGGCAGGGAAACAGAUCCUCCCUUAGCGACUCCAGAGAAAACACACCCUGUCGACACCUUGCUAUUAGCAGUUGUGACCCAUUUUGAACUUCUUGCCUCCAGAACGUGAAAACACUAAAUCUGUUGUUUUACGUAGCUACAUUUGCAGCAAUUUGUUACAGCAGAAAUAGGACACUACUGCGGUCGCCCAGGCACGAUUCACUGUGGGAGGGAACUCCAGGAAGGAGUGAAUUCCAGGAGCCAUCUUGGAUGCCACAAAGGAUAUGUUGGCUUUUAAGAGCUAUGAAGAUAAAACAAAAGGGAUUGACAGACAUAUCACCAUGACCUUUCUCUCUUACACAUUGAUGAAGAAGCUGGUUGUCAUCAUAGAGACACAGAUGAAGAGAUAUUCCAGAGCCAAGUUCAUCUCUGUGAUACAUUGGAGAGACACAAAAAGCCUGGAAAGACAUUGUGUUCUUGGUGCCCAGAAGUCUAGCAGACACAGGCUUUGUCAAAAUGGUAGAGGAAAUAAAUUCUAGGCACAUGAUGCUUUCCAGGAAAUGUCUUCUAAUUUUUGGAAAAUUUAACCAGAAAACUUCCUUUGAGAGAAUUUGUCAGUUAUACACACUCAAGCCAGCUAACCUGUGGGACUGAAUCAGCCAGUCAGUUGGUAGUGAUUAUGAAGCAGUUGUUUGAAUGGAUGGAAUGUCUGGCCAGUGAAUCCCUGAGG